This is a long non-coding RNA of Anolis carolinensis (green anole), 1328 nucleotides long. RefSeq lists it as uncharacterized. Lineage: Eukaryota; Metazoa; Chordata; Lepidosauria; Squamata; Anolidae. The transcript is spliced from 2 exons. The record is from RefSeq and is a predicted model, not a curated record.
CCUCGCCCCCUUUUUUCCCGCUCUUCUUCCUCCCUCCGCCCCGCGCGCCCGAGCAACACCGCUGACAUCACCGUAGUAAGAUUUAAAUAGCUACACAUGCCAUGUUUCUCCUGGAAACAAAGCACGCUAUUGGCCGGCGGCGCAGCCAGCCUCUACCUACCAACAGGGAUAAGCCCGACGCUUCCAGCCAAUCAGCGCCGAGAUCGCGUUGCUGCUAAGAGCCAAUGGAACGCCUGUCACUAAGGGAGGGAAAUACAUAGAAGCACAUCAGGUUCCUUGGGAGCCGGCAACAGGGGCUGAUGGGAUAUUCUGAAAGGACCUCUUGCCACAGCAAUGAAUUCGGCAUCGUUAGGAACAUGCACUGGACUUUAACUACGUGGCAUUGGCGGAGGAGAUGGCUUCGUGCCAAAAGGAGAGGCAGUGCCAGGUUCAGUAAGGCUUUCCAUAAGGACACCUUCCCUCCCUACAGCUCUUUGGAAUAGUUCCUGAAUUUCAACAAGGCAACUUACAACUUUUCAUCCAAGCCAUAGACACCCGCAAAAACCCUGAGAGGGAUUGCAUGCCAUUUUGACAAGAUACUAGAUGCCUGAUCAUUUUUGUGAUAUGCUUUGAGUAAGGACCUCCCUUUGAUUGCUGUGGAAAAGUGAUGCUUCGUGAAGAUGAUCAAGUUCACAUUAUGGACCAAACCAGCAUCUUCUGACUUAAGCCAAUCACCAGUUUGGCUCCAUUUUCUCCAGGAAACAGCCAGCAUCACACAACGGGUGUUUGUGCUCCUCUAACAUAUUGAAUCCUUUCCCAGGAAAAAGAUAGCAUGUAAAUAAUGAACGAGCAAACAAAUACAUAGAGUAGGGAAAAACCACAAGGGCAAUCCAUUCAAACCCCCUGCCAUACCAUCUCAGCACAGCAGUAAUGGAAAUGGAGAUUUCCUCUUUUUGAAGGGGGAAAGGGGUUUUUAAUUUCCCUCUGGACAGUUAUUUUAAUUAAUUUGUUGCCCCCUCCCCCAUUUUAUCUUGUAUAACUAAAAAGUUCCAUUUUGGCCAUGUGGAUUGUACUCUCUGCCAAACCAAUAGUGAAUGUGUGGGGACAUUAUAAGUGCCUAUGUUUCUUUGAGGACAAGUUGAUGAGCAUGUUUCCUCCACUGAUAUAAGCAAAACCAUGAUUACACAAAUCUCAGGACUUUCAAUACAAAACCAAACAUUUCCUGUGCUUUAUGAAGUAUUGAGGGACAUAUAAGUGGACUGCAACAAAACUGGAAUCAGUUUUUCUGCCUUUCUUUAUUGGUGAAAUUUUAUUUUCUCAAAUAAAUAUUAAAUAUUUAUUGUACUUCA